Equus caballus (horse) is the source of this 466-nucleotide non-coding RNA. The record is from RefSeq and is a predicted model, not a curated record. NCBI's taxonomy places the organism in Eukaryota, Metazoa, Chordata, Mammalia, Perissodactyla, Equidae.
CAGUUGGCUGGCCACAACAGGAGGGUUAAGGCAGAGAUUCUUCAGCCAGAAUUUAAAAAUCAGCAUCUGAAGGCCAAGGGUGGACAUGUGUACAAGUGCCAGUGGAAAAUGGCUUUUCUGGAAUAUCAGGUUUGGUCCUAAGAGACUAAGGGCACUCCACGUGGUGAGCAAUAAAUCUGGAUUCUGCUGUGUUUAAUUAAGCGUGUCACCAGCAUGGAAUGCGACCAUGGAUUGGCCUGUGACGAGCCUCCUUCUCCUAGAGAGAGAAGUUCUAGCCUCGUCUUCUGCUCCUGUGGAGUUUUCCAUUGCUUGGAAAUGGUUUGUAAGGUGAUGGAGUCCCAUGGAUGCCAGCUGGCAAAGGAAGAUCAGAGAAGGAGGAGAAGUUGAGUCAGUGGAGGGGAAAGAUUGCUGGAUGAUAUUUUCUUCACAGCUGUAGUGUCAAUAAAUAAAGACUUUGAUCACCCAU